CGACGGAACAGAGCAGCCCUCUGUUAUUUUCAAAAAAAAAAAAUUCCUUCUCUUUUAACCAAAUCUCCUCCCUCAACCCGUAAACUUCUAAGAUCCUUCAGUUAGAUCCUGAUUAAACCUAUAUUCUGCUUAAAAUUUCAAUAAUUUCUGCCAGAGGCUCCAAAAUUUGGGUAGGAGAGGAUCCAGCUUCCAGGAUAGAUACUAGGGGUCCUCCUGCGACCUAAGUCUUUUGUCCUAAGUAUUCUGUUCCUUUUGGGUGAUCCGCUCAGCAGUCCUCAUUUCCUAGUUUGUCAUUCCUUCCACAUCGUCCAAUCAGAGUUUAGAGGAGGUCGGACCAAUUCUAGGCCUUUUGUCGUUUCUUUUUUGUACUUUUGAUAGAUCAUGUAUAGAUUGUACAGCCCAGUGAAGAAUGUAUUUUGUUUAUUGUAAAUAUAUUAGGGAUUGACAGGUCCAACUAUCAGUUUUUCUCUUAUAUGUUUUAUAAUUUGGAAUUAUAGCAGGUUACAUGUUUUUAUAUGUAUAAAUAUUA
This is a long non-coding RNA of Manihot esculenta (cassava), 529 nucleotides long. RefSeq lists it as uncharacterized. The record is from RefSeq and is a predicted model, not a curated record. The transcript is spliced from 3 exons. NCBI's taxonomy places the organism in Eukaryota, Viridiplantae, Streptophyta, Magnoliopsida, Malpighiales, Euphorbiaceae.